Molecule: ribosomal RNA, 495 nt
Filed under: uncultured bacterium
Lineage: Bacteria
Description: partial 16S ribosomal RNA
Rfam family: Bacterial small subunit ribosomal RNA
Source: RNAcentral
UGAACGCUGGCGGCGUGCCUAAUACAUGCAAGUCGAGCGAACAGACGAGGAGCUUGCUCCUCUGACGUUAGCGGUGGACGGGUGAGUAACACGUGGAUAACCUACCUAUAAGACUGGGAUAACUUCGGGAAACCGGAGCUAAUACCGGAUAAUAUAUUGAACCGCAUGGUUCAAUAGUGAAAGACGGUUUUGUUGUCACUUAUAGAUGGAUCCGCGCCGCAUUAGCUAGUUGGUAAGGUAACGGCUUACCAAGGCAACGAUGCGUAGCCGACCUGCGAGGGUGAUCGGCCACACGGGAACUGAGACACGGUCCAGACUCCUACGGGAGGCAGCAGUAGGGAAUCUUCCGCAAUGGGCGAAAGCCUGACGGGGCAACGCCGCGUGAGUGAUGAAGGUCUUCGGAGCGUAAAACUCUGUUAUUAGGGAAGAACAAAUGUGUAAGUAACUAUGCACGUCUUGACGGUACCUAAUCAGAAAGCCACGGCUAACUACGUG